This 75-nucleotide antisense RNA is filed under the name Streptomyces sp. cf124. RNAcentral describes it as "ASpks TB sRNA". It matches the Rfam family "ASpks TB sRNA". The record is from RNAcentral. Lineage: Bacteria; Bacillati; Actinomycetota; Actinomycetes; Kitasatosporales; Streptomycetaceae.
CUUCACCGAGCCGACCCACAACGGCCGUUCCUCCGGGCGCCCUUGCCCGUACGUCGCCAGCAGUGCCUGGGCCUC